ACGCCACCCCCACAGGGACGACGGAGUCGGCCUCCUCGCCCACCGCCACCGACUUCACUGCCACCGCCGUCUCCAGAAACGGGACAGAGACAACCUUCUCCUCUGGCACUGUUCACACCUCCCCGGGAACCGCUCCCGAACUUACCACCCACAGCACCGCUCUGUCAACAUCAAGCCAACACACAUCAGAACCCACAACGGCAACCACCAGCACUGUGUCGGUGCUUGUCCUCCUGACUUUCCGCAUAACGAACAGAAAUUACAGUUCUGAUUUGUCGCAUCGGAACAGCACAGAAUUCAAAGAUCUAAAUAAUUUAAUUGGGGAUGUGUAUAACUCAAUAUAUAACUGUUCCACCUGCCGGCUGCGCACCGUCUAUCUUGGCUAUACCGUGAUUGCAUUCAGGUAUGGAAUGAGAGUCAGGCGACAGAAAAAUCCCUGGGAAAAAAUGAUCUGGAGUAGCCGACGAAGCUGGACCAGGCCAGAAUUUCCGGGAGCCGCAGAAAUAAGGGCGGGUUGAUCAGCUUCUAUGUUGCUUUAACAGAGCAAAGACCGUUAUCUAUUCUUAAUUUUAAUAUUGAUCAGUGGACGCUGGGUGUGUGUUUCAAAUGAGGCGUUCAGGAUCCAAUCAGCUUGGCACAGCAUCGGCCUCAAACUAUGAAAAUGUGUGUUGAUCAUUCUGAUUGUCUGUUGUGCACCUGUGGACAUAUCUGGAUCCUGUACUCAGUUACAUGUUUGACAGCAGAAGAGAUGCCCAGGAAACCAUCUGAAUUUCUUCUUACAAGUGCAUUUCAAAAUAAGAUUCUGGCCAUGGCCUUUUAAUGGAUGGUUUUGAAUGCUUUAAUUAGAGCUUUAUUAUAAUUUUGUCCCCAACUGAGUCAUAGCCCUCUGUGAGUGCAUUAUUUUUAGGGGGACAGCAGUGAGGACUAGAGACUUGACAUUUACCGUAUUUUUCCGUGUAGAAGACUAGACUUUUUUCUAAAUUUUUAGACUAAAAAUUGAGUGUCGUCUUAUAUACAGAAGUAAGCUGAGGAGAUAACAAAAACAAGUGGAGGGGAAAGCAGGGAUCAAAGCAAUCCUGCAGCACUUUGAUCCCUGCUUUCUCCUCUGCUUGCUAAGUCCCAUGAGGCUUAACAAAAGGAGGGGGGAAAGAAUCAAAGCAAUCCCUUGGCUGUAUAAGAGGGAAGGGAUCAAAACGAUAAUGCAGUUGCAGGACUGCUUUGAUCCCUUUCCCCCUCCUUUUGCUAAGCCCCGCGGGGCUUAGCACGAAGGGAGAAAUCAGGGAUUAUAGCAAUCCUACUGCACUUUGAUCCCUUUCCCACUACACUUGCUAAGCCCCACUUAGAUUUCUUAAUUUUUGGUUAGAAAAAUGGUGCACGUCUUAUACAUGGGGGCAUCUUAUACACGGAAAGAUAUGGUAAACAGACAUUUACAUUCUGGUUGUUUCUGCCCGCCAAACUUAAAUAGAACAUAUAUUUCCGUCGGAACUUGAGAAAGAUGGCCACUGAAACUUAGAAUUUCUUGACCUGAAGCAACUUCUGUACCACAAAGUUGUGAGUCUGAAAUCCUUCUGGCUAUUUCAUGUUCUUAUUCCAAGAACAGGAAACAGCCGGUAGGCUUUGAGUCCUGCAAAAUAUCUCUUGGUCAUCCUAGGAACCGAAUUCGGGGCUUUCUGCAUGGAAUGCCACAGUUUGGUGACUAAGCUAUGAGCCUCCCUGGGCUGUUCGUGGGUCUUCCAAUUCAUUUAAUGCUCUUUACUGUUCUCUUUUUCUGUCGAAUGUAAAGGCCAGGAUCCGUGGUGGUGGACUCAGAAAUAAAUUUCCGGAAUAACAAUGAGACUUCCA
Pogona vitticeps (central bearded dragon) is the source of this 1842-nucleotide long non-coding RNA. Lineage: Eukaryota; Metazoa; Chordata; Lepidosauria; Squamata; Agamidae. The record is from Ensembl.